Molecule: long non-coding RNA, 405 nt
Filed under: Trifolium pratense (red clover)
Lineage: Eukaryota; Viridiplantae; Streptophyta; Magnoliopsida; Fabales; Fabaceae
Description: long non-coding RNA (TPRA_LNC006771)
Source: RNAcentral
CAACAAAGUGACGUAAAUCAAGGUUAUGUCAAACUAAAAUAACAUAAGUGCAAAUUCUGCAACAUCCCUAUAAAUGAAGGUUUCAGCUAUUUCAAUAAACAAAAUUGAAAAUUAACAAGAUUGUAUGAUGAGUACCAGACAUUGAUUGAGCAUCUCUGAUUCUAACUACAUUCAGGUCAUGUAUCAUCAUAGUUUACAGAUCCUCAUCCACAAAUCAAACAAAAGCAUGCAACAUAUACAAUGAAGAAGCUAUUAUAUGCUACUAAUCUAGACAAUAUAGAGCAUAACAUACAAUAUUGCCGAACUGUAUAACUCCGAGAAUUCUGGUGGAUGAUAUCUGGAUAAGUUAUUAUUGUCCAAAAGCCUGUAACGUCAAGUCAACAAGUAGACACCACCUUAAUACAA